GAUGAACGCUGGCGGCGUGCCUAAUACAUGCAAGUCGAGCGAACAGACAAGGAGCUUGCUCCUCUAACGUUAGCGGCGGACGGGUGAGUAACACGUGGAUAACCUACCUAUAAGACUGGGAUAACUUCGGGAAACCGGAGCUAAUACCAGAUAAUAUAUUGAACCGCAUGGUUCAAUAGUUCAAGACGGUUUUGCCGUCACUUAUAGAUGGAUCCGGGCCGGAUUAGCUAGUUGGUAAGGUAACGGCUUACCAAGGCAACGAUGCGUAGCUGAUCUGAGAGGGUGAUCGGCCACACUGGAACUGAGACACGGUCCAGACUCCUACGGGAGGCAGCAGUAGGGAAUAUUGCGCAAUGGGCGAAAGCCUGAUGGAGCAACGCCGCGUGAGUGAUGAAGGUCUUCGGAUCGUAAAGCUCUGUUGUUGGGGAAGAACAAAUGUGUAAGUAACUAUGCACGUCUUGACGGUACCUAAUGAGAAAGCCCCGGCUAACUACGUG
Molecule: ribosomal RNA, 497 nt
Filed under: uncultured bacterium
Lineage: Bacteria
Description: partial 16S ribosomal RNA
Rfam family: Bacterial small subunit ribosomal RNA
Source: RNAcentral